GGACUUGCGCCCCUCUCUGUCCCUGAGACCCUAACUUGUGACGUUUUGGUUUCAAGUCCACGGGUUAGGCUCUUGGGAGCUGUGAGUUGUGCCCCU
This 96-nucleotide microRNA precursor is filed under the name Ophiophagus hannah (king cobra). Its description in RNAcentral is "microRNA oha-mir-125b precursor". Its record names the gene oha-mir-125b. The stretch from base 14 to 84 matches the Rfam family "lin-4 microRNA precursor family", at positions 1 to 71 of the family's 80-position model. Rfam says of the family: The extents of the hairpin precursors are not generally known and are estimated based on hairpin prediction. The record is from miRBase by way of RNAcentral. Lineage: Eukaryota; Metazoa; Chordata; Lepidosauria; Squamata; Elapidae.